UAGCAGGAGAAAGCUUGCUUUCUUGCUGACGAGUGGCGGACGGGUGAGUAAUGCUUGGGAAUCUGGCUUAUGGAGGGGGAUAACGACGGGAAACUGUCGCUAAUACCGCGUAGUGUCGAGAGACGAAAGUGCGGGACCGAAAGGCCGCAUGCCAUAGGAUGAGCCCAAGUGGGAUUAGGUAGUUGGUGAGGUAAAGGCUCACCAAGCCUGCGAUCUCUAGCUGGUCUGAGAGGAUGGCCAGCCACACUGGAACUGAGACACGGUCCAGACUCCUACGGGAGGCAGCAGUGGGGAAUAUUGCGCAAUGGGGGGAACCCUGACGCAGCCAUGCCGCGUGAAUGAAGAAGGCCUUCGGGUUGUAAAGUUCUUUCGGUAUUGAGGAAGGAGUGUAUGUUAAUAGCAUACAUUAUUGACGUUAAAUACAGAAGAAGCACCGGCUAACUCCGUGCCAGCAGCCGCGGUAAUACGGAGGGUGCGAGCGUUAAUCGGAAUAACUGGGCGUAAAGGGCACGCAGGCGGUUAUUUAAGUGAGGUGUGAAAGCCCCGGGCUUAACCUGGGAAUUGCAUUUCAGACUGGGUAACUAGAGUACUUUAGGGAGGGGUAGAAUUCCACGUGUAGCGGUGAAAUGCGUAGAGAUGUGGAGGAAUACCGAAGGCGAAGGCAGCCCCUUGGGAAUGUACUGACGCUCAUGUGCGAAAGCGUGGGGAGCAAACAGGAUUAGAUACCCUGGUAGUCCACGCUGUAAACGCUGUCGAUUCGGGGAUUGGGCUUUAAGCUUGGUGCCCGUAGCUAACGU
This 797-nucleotide ribosomal RNA is filed under the name uncultured Haemophilus sp. RNAcentral's name for it is "bacterial SSU rRNA". It matches the Rfam family "Bacterial small subunit ribosomal RNA", at positions 68 to 858 of the family's 1533-position model. Lineage: Bacteria; Pseudomonadati; Pseudomonadota; Gammaproteobacteria; Pasteurellales; Pasteurellaceae. The record is from RNAcentral.